GGUUGCGAUCAUACCAGCACUAAUGCACCGGAUCCCAUUAGAACUCCGCAGUUAAGCGUGUUUGGGCGAGAGUAGUACUAGGAUGGGUGACCCCCUGGGAAGUCCUCGUGUUGCAACCC
This 119-nucleotide ribosomal RNA is filed under the name Helianthus annuus (common sunflower). Lineage: Eukaryota; Viridiplantae; Streptophyta; Magnoliopsida; Asterales; Asteraceae. The record is from RNAcentral.